RNAcentral lists this unclassified non-coding RNA (172 nucleotides) under uncultured fungus. Its description in RNAcentral is "sequence contains ITS1, 5.8S rRNA gene". Lineage: Eukaryota; Fungi. The record is from RNAcentral.
CCGAGUAUCGGUACCCUUUGGGUACCUGCUCCCACCAUUUGUGAACCUUUUUCGUUGCCUCGGCGGACCGGUGGUUCUUCCACCCUUUGGCUUUUUAGCUGGAGAGAGUCCGCCAGAGGAAUUUUCAAACCCGUUUAAUUUUGAAAUCUGAGUUUAAACAAAAAUAAAAACA